RNAcentral lists this transfer RNA (74 nucleotides) under Enterobacter cloacae subsp. cloacae. RNAcentral describes it as "tRNA-OTHER". It matches the Rfam family "tRNA". Rfam says of the family: Transfer RNA (tRNA) molecules are approximately 80 nucleotides in length. Their secondary structure includes four short double-helical elements and three loops (D, anti-codon, and T loops). Lineage: Bacteria; Pseudomonadati; Pseudomonadota; Gammaproteobacteria; Enterobacterales; Enterobacteriaceae. The record is from RNAcentral.
GCCCGGAUAGCUCAGUCGGUGUAGAGCAGGGGAUUGAAAUCCCUGUGUCCUUGGUCUGAUUCCGAGUCCGGGCA